CUGCCCCUCACUUCGGGACAAGCCCUGGAAACGGGGUCUAAUACCGGAUGAUACCUCCACUCGCAUGGGUGGGGGUUGAAAGCUCCGGCGGUGAGGGAUGAGCCCGCGGCCUAUCAGCUAGUUGGUGAGGUAACGGGUCAGCAAGGCGACGACGGGUAGCCGGCCUGAGAGGGCGACCGGCCACACUGGGACUGAGACACGGCCCAGACUCCUACGGGAGGCAGCAGUGGGGAAUAUUGCACAAUGGGCGCAAGCCUGAGGGAGCGACGCCGCGUGAGGGAUGACGGCCUUCGGGUUGUAAACCUCUUUCAGCAGGGAAGAAGCGCAAGUGACGGUACCUGCAGAAGAAGCGCCGGCUAACUACGUGCCAGCAGCCGCGGUAAUACGUAGGGGCGCGAGCGUUGUCCGGAAUUAUUGGGCGUAAAGAGCUCGUAGGCGGCCUGUCGCGUCAAUUGUGAAAGCCCGGGGCUUAACCCCGGGUCUGCAGUCGAUACGGGCAGG
RNAcentral lists this ribosomal RNA (501 nucleotides) under Streptomyces prasinus. RNAcentral's name for it is "bacterial SSU rRNA". It matches the Rfam family "Bacterial small subunit ribosomal RNA", at positions 126 to 640 of the family's 1533-position model. The record is from RNAcentral. Lineage: Bacteria; Bacillati; Actinomycetota; Actinomycetes; Kitasatosporales; Streptomycetaceae.